AUGAGCCAUUUGCCACUAGCAAGGGAUUUCUAAGUGAUAUACAUUAAUAAUCUUUGCCACCACAUUACUUUGUUUUUGCUAUUCUUCGAGUCAUUAUUGCCAAGGUCGAGUUUCGUUUUGUUCUUCAGGACCUUACAUAAUUUGUAUUAGAAUAAAGCUACACUUACAAAGACUUUACUAAGAAUUUCCUACUGAAUGACAUGGUGGCCUAUGUGGCACGUGCCAUGUUGUUAAAUAAGUGUUAAAUCAUUACCCAAAUAAAGUUAGUGAAAAAGGAAAAAACAUUAAUGGGGCAAGAACAAUUAAAGGAAAUUUAGUUUUCCAUUUCACUGUAAUUUCUUCCCAAAAUUGCACGAAGGUCCUUUCAAGCAUUAUUACAAGCUGCUACUGAAGUCUACUCAACAAUAUUUGAAGCUCUUGAAAUGAUUUAUAACUUGUUUUAUGAAAAUGUCAUCGUAAUUAUAUUUUUCUAACAUUGGUGUUAUUAUUACUUCACCAAUGGUUAAUCAAUUGCUAUUAAUUGCAAUGUUACCGCAGUUAAUAAAACAUGCAAAAAUGGAGGUAUAUCAAGUAAAAUUAUUUCAUAAGGAAACUUCUAGAGAUAUUUCAAAAUAUUUUACUAGAAGUAAUAUAGGAUUUUUGGUCGUUGCUCCAUUGUGCCAAUAAAACUGAAUCUUCUUUUCUAAUCAAUGAAACUAAAAGCAUGAUUUGAGACGUAGGAGCAAUCCUUUGCCGAUGUAGCUAAGAAAACUUAAUAUGUAUUUUAAUCAAUGAAACUAAAAGCAUGAUUUAAGUAGGAUCUAUCCUUUAUUUACAUAAAACGAAUUCAAAUUGAGAAAGGAUCAAAUCCUUUCAUUCUGAAGCUUAAUAGAUUGUUGGACACCAUCUAAUGGGUGCAUUAAGAUACAUAUGAAAGUGAACCCCAUGAAUUAUUUAGUGGUUGUAUCAUGUAUGUAGAUUGUCUUCAAAUAUCUUUGUUAGUGCAUCCAUAGCCUUUGUAGGAAUCAAUUUCCUUUACUUGUCGUGCUUGAAUUCAGAAGAUGAACUUCAAAGAUUGUCGAGCACACUUCAAUGGCAAAUAAUGCUUGAGAGGAGAUUUGUUGUGACUUUGGAAGAAAGGAAAAUAGAAUAAGAAACUAAAAUUUCUUUGAUUUUUCUUGCCCCAGUUAUAUUUUUCUUCUCCUUUUCUACAGCACAAUCUUUAUUUUGAUUGCUGAUUGCGCCUUAUUAGGACACACGCUGCAUAGGCUGUUGUAUCAUUUAGUGAGUAAUUUUUAGUAAAGAUAUACCACGUGUAGCUUUACCUCUUGUAUUAUUUAUGUGUUUCGCUUGAUACUGAAUCUGUAUUAGUCUUAUGUUUCCAGCUGACAUCUCUGAAGUAUGCCAGUAAGGAUUUGAAAGGCAUGGUGAAAAUCAUCAAGAUCCAUGGCAUUGAUGUCUGUGAUUUCUCCUUUACUCUUUUAUUUCAGUCUUGAUGCUGACUACUUUUGGAUCAGCUGUUUCUUGGCCGGAUUUAUAGAGCUUGCAUUUGCAAGAUGAGAUGACGGACCUAAUGGAUGUAACUGAUGAUUAGCGAGAUACAAGAAACCUUUGGUGGGAGCUACAAUCUACCUGAUGACUUUAAUGCUGAAGAACUCAUGAACUAAAUGCUUUGUAAGCAGACAUGGGAAUGCAAACAGAGACCAGAGGGCCUAUGUAUCUCCAGUUGCAUGAGGGACUGGAUUUGGAUGCAGAGCUUGACUUGCCUUCAGCGCCAGCAUCCAGUAGGACAUGCUGCUGAACCUGCUGGCAGAUCCGAUGCCUGGGUGGAAGAUGACCUGGGUCUACCUGCCGUCCCUUAUGGAAAAUAAAUUAACCGCCUUCUUUCUUGAUCAUGUGUCGGUGCCAAGGAAGUGGAUGGAGACGCCUGCUGUAGAAGCGAGUAUUUGAAUUUAUAUGGUCAUGCGGCUUUGUUUUACUCCUUUCCACAGUGAUAGCGAUUCUUUCAACCAACUAAUGACGGCAAGGGAGUCAAUAAAUUACUCCACUUGCCGAGUUUUUGAGUCUGUAAAGGAGAAUGAAAGAUGAUUACAUUGUGGAAUUGCCAAUUGGUCUGCACUGCACUUUCAAAUCAGUGGUUA
This is an RNA transcript of Eucalyptus grandis, 2120 nucleotides long. It is a transcript of the gene named vacuolar protein sorting-associated protein 60.1, with no coding region annotated. The record is from RefSeq and is a predicted model, not a curated record. NCBI's taxonomy places the organism in Eukaryota, Viridiplantae, Streptophyta, Magnoliopsida, Myrtales, Myrtaceae. The transcript is spliced from 3 exons.